RNAcentral lists this ribosomal RNA (506 nucleotides) under uncultured bacterium. RNAcentral describes it as "partial 16S ribosomal RNA". It matches the Rfam family "Bacterial small subunit ribosomal RNA", at positions 28 to 506 of the family's 1533-position model. The record is from RNAcentral.
GACGAACGCUGGCGGCGUGCCUAAUACAUGCAAGUCGAACGCAUUUUCUUUCACCGUAGCUUGCUACACCGAAAGAAAAUGAGUGGCGAACGGGUGAGUAACACGUGGGCAACCUGCCCAUCAGCGGGGGAUAACACUUGGAAACAGGUGCUAAUACCGCAUAAUUCCAUUUACCGCAUGGUAGAGGGAUGAAAGGCGCUUUUGCGUCACUGAUGGAUGGACCCGCGGUGCAUUAGCUAGUUGGUGGGGUAACGGCCUACCAAGGCUGCGAUGCAUAGCCGACCUGAGGGGGUGAUCGGCCACACUGGGACUGAGACACGGCCCAGACUCCUACGGGAGGCAGCAGUAGGGAAUCUGCGGCAAGGGGCGAAAGUCUGACCGAGCAACGCCGCGUGGGGGAAGAAGGUUUUCGGAUUGUAAAACUCUGUUGUUAGGGAAGAAAAGGGGUGGGAGGGGAAAGUUCACCCCUUGAGGGAAUCAAACCAAAAAACCCCGGCAAACUACGU